AUUAGGGUGGCAGAGCCAGGCAAUUGCGUAAGACUUAAAACCUUGUACCCAGAGGUUCAAAUCCUCUUCCUAAUA
Molecule: transfer RNA, 75 nt
Filed under: Arvicanthis niloticus (Nile rat)
Lineage: Eukaryota; Metazoa; Chordata; Mammalia; Rodentia; Muridae
Description: tRNA-Leu
Rfam family: tRNA
About the family: Transfer RNA (tRNA) molecules are approximately 80 nucleotides in length. Their secondary structure includes four short double-helical elements and three loops (D, anti-codon, and T loops).
Source: RNAcentral